UACGAAGGGGGCAAGCGUUGUUCGGAAUUACUGGGCGUAAAGGGCGCGUAGGCGGCUUAUCAAGUCAGGCGUGAAAUUCCCGGGCUCAACCUGGGGGCUGCGCUUGAUACUGAUGAGCUUGAAUGCGGGAGAGGAUAGUGGAAUUCCCAGUGUAGAGGUGAAAUGCGUAGAUAUCUGGAGGAACACCGGUGGCGAAGGCGGCAUCCUGGACCGGUAUUGACGCUGAGGCGCGAAAGCCAGGGGAGCAAACGGG
This 253-nucleotide ribosomal RNA is filed under the name uncultured bacterium. RNAcentral's name for it is "partial 16S ribosomal RNA". It matches the Rfam family "Bacterial small subunit ribosomal RNA", at positions 524 to 776 of the family's 1533-position model. The record is from RNAcentral.